Molecule: ribosomal RNA, 490 nt
Filed under: uncultured bacterium
Lineage: Bacteria
Description: partial 16S ribosomal RNA
Rfam family: Bacterial small subunit ribosomal RNA
Source: RNAcentral
AUUGAACGCUGGCGGCAGGCCUAACACAUGCAAGUCGAACGGUAACAGGAAGCAGCUUGCUGCUUUGCUGACGAGUGGCGGACGGGUGAGUAAUGUCUGGGAAACUGCCCGAUGGAGGGGGAUAACUACUGGAAACGGUAGCUAAUACCGCAUAACGUCGCAAGACCAAAGAGGGGGACCUUAGGGCCUCUUGCCAUCGGAUGUGCCCAGAUGGGAUUAGCUAGUAGGUGGGGUAACGGCUCACCUAGGCGACGAUCCCUAGCUGGUCUGAGAGGAUGACCAGCCACACUGGAACUGAGACACGGUCCAGACUCCUACGGGAGGCAGCAGUGGGGAAUAUUGCACAAUGGGCGCAAGCCUGAUGCAGCCAUGCCGCGUGUAUGAAGAAGGCCUUCGGGUUGUAAAGUACUUUCAGCGGGGAGGAAGGGAGUAAAGUUAAUACCUUUGCUCAUUGACGUUACCCGAAGAAGAAGCACCGGCUAACUCCGUG